RNAcentral lists this long non-coding RNA (257 nucleotides) under Oryza brachyantha (malo sina). RNAcentral describes it as "long non-coding RNA (OBRA_LNC002785)". The stretch from base 79 to 182 matches the Rfam family "MIR2275 microRNA precursor family". Lineage: Eukaryota; Viridiplantae; Streptophyta; Magnoliopsida; Poales; Poaceae. The record is from RNAcentral.
UGUUCAACUUUCAGACAGUGCUUAGAGCAAUUGUGCAAGCAGUGACUUUGAACUUCUCUGAAGAACCUGAUAUCUUGGAAGCUAAAUGUGAGAGUCGGAUGGGACCAAAUCUUCAGCUCCAGCUCCAAAUCACUGGAGUAGAGCACAAGACUUGGUUUCCUCCAAUAUCUCAUCUUCAACUGUCCCAAUACAACAGAAUCACAUCAAAUGUAUAGAUCAUUUUCAGUUAAGCAAGCAUGCAAUUAGCAAUUAAAGAG